Molecule: long non-coding RNA, 2133 nt
Organism: Mustela erminea (ermine)
Lineage: Eukaryota; Metazoa; Chordata; Mammalia; Carnivora; Mustelidae
Exons: 4
Source: RefSeq, a predicted model, not a curated record
ACUUCACUUUUAGAAAAUACAUAAAUAUACCUACCUUGUGGAAUAGAAAAAAUUACAACAAUAUCAUUGACAAAGGUAUUGCCUACAUUAAAUACAUUACAUUAAAUAGGAGAUUUCACCGGUUCACAGAGCUUGAUUUUCUUACUUACAACAACUUUAUUUGUAAUUACAGCUUUACUUGCAUUAACGGACCGAUUAAUAGGAUACAGAAGGAUGGAACUAAGAUGUGAAGUUCCAGUGUGGAUGCACUGUAGUACUUUGUGGGCACUAAUGGUUUAAAAGGAGAAUCACUAGAAGGGAAUGUGUGGUGUUUACAGGUGAAUUAAUGCUGCCAUCUUCUAUAGACAACUUCAUAUCUAGACAACUUCUAAAAUGCGGGAGAGGGAAGAAGUUCCCAGGAGAAGCAGUGCUUGCACUGAACCUGGAACUGGUGUCUGAACUAUGAUGUUGCAGAAGAUCUGAAGGGACCGAGGAAUCUCAAGCGGCAGGCACAUGGAAAUCAGGGAAAAUGCAGCUUUAUUAUCUAUCACCGGCAGGCUCAGCGGGAUCCUUUCCCAAAGGCUGAGCACCUGACUGGGUUAGGGAUUACAGGAUUUGAGGACAUUUACCAAUAGCAUUUUCCUCUACAUGUGUCUCAGUCCCUUUGCUAACUAUGGCUUAUCUACAGCACGGCAAAUGAUGAUUCAUGGCUUCUUGGCUCUACUCACAGGAGGAAAGAGAGUUCAGACACAUUGCUAAUUAUUAUUGCAGUGCCAGUGAAAAGUCAUCUUGGGUUAUGAAAAAGUGUUGUCUUUCUUUGGUUGUGGAAGCUAGAACCUUAUUCAUAUUAUUCUGUAAGUAAAUUUUCUAUUAUCUGUUUGGUUUCCUUGGAAGAUGAAACUCCCUCAUUAUUAUAGUUCCUGAACUUGAGAUUCUUUGGGCCUCUUACUUAGAAAUUGUCCCUACAUAAUUUCAGAAGCAAUGGUAAUGAAAUCCAUUUUUUUUUAUUGGUGAUUUUAAGCUAUCCAUCACCUUGGUAAUCUAAGGGCAAUUACAUCAUCCUGGUUCUCCCACCAGCGCACUUUGUGCAGCUGGUAUAGACUGUUCUAAAAAGUGAGAUGAAGAAAGCUUCUCAUGUUGGAAGGGGGUGAGGAUGGGAGCAUAAUGUACCCAAUAAGGGAACUGUGUUCUAAAAUCACUUGAACUCUCUGGACCUCAGUUGUCUGUGAAACAGGUAAGAAUGAAUGUUCUUCAUGGAGAACGAAGGGCAAAAUGAGGAAUUUCUCAAGUUUAUUGAGCUACAAAUUCCACUUUUACAAUAUAAUUAUGUAUAACAAAGUCCAGAGGAUAUAAAAACAAAUUUGCGCAAGUAUUAAGAUAAGUUAAGAGCUAAUGUUCACAUGUGGCUUGAAUGCAGUUAUUAAUAUCUAUGCUUGUUAGAGUUAAUAACCAAUACCAAGAUGAUCUGGAGAAUUAAUGAUUAAUAAGAGGAGCAAAAAAAUAAGCAGCCCCAUUAUCGAUAGAGGCUGGCACCAUUAGGAUGCUAAAGGCCUGGGAAUCAGACUGACUGCACAGAGCAAGUUCACAGAUAUUUGUUGGUAGUAUUACUUGGUGUUUGUUUGUUUGUUUGUUGAAAAAAAGAAAAGUAGGAAAGACAGCAGGGAAAGAGGGAGGGAGGAAAGGAGCAUAUUUAGUUUGAAUUGCCAUAUCCUCUUUUUCAGGGAUAAAGAUUGUAUUUUGCUCUCCAGCUACACUUCUGUCCAUUGUAACUCAGUAACAUUUACCUCUGAAGACAAAAGAACCCUUGGAUAUAAUCUCAUUGUUUGUAGUUCUCUUUUAUAAGAUGCCAGUAUGGUAAUAGUUCUAUUAAUGAGUAAGUAGAGAGGUGCUAGGUGUGAAGGGUCACGUUUUUCCGUGCCAGCAAUUCCAUGGCACCUGCCAAAAUUCCGAAAGUAUCAUCUCCAGCUGCAGUGCCAGAUUCUGGUGAUGAUGUAGGGAUUCCUUUUCCUGGCUCUCUGAUCUAGCUCUGAAAAGACAAUAAGAUAAGAGAAACAGGGCAGGAAAUGGUCAUGAUAGCAAAGCUGGGUUUGGUGCUUUUCCUGACUUUGGUGGCCAAUACCACUGGAUUCCAAUGGUAUCAAGCUUUGUGAAAGA